CAGUAGCCGCGGGAAUACGUAGGUGGCAAGCGUUGUCCGGAAUUAUUGGGCGUAAAGGGCUCACAGGCGGUUUCUUAAGUCUGAUGUGAAAGCCCCCGGCUCAACCGGGGAGGGUCAUUGGAAACUGGGAAACUUGAGUGCAGAAGAGGAGAGUGGAAUUCCACGUGUAGCGGUGAAAUGCGUAGAGAUGUGGAGGAACACCAGUGGCGAAGGCGACUCUCUGGUCUGUAACUGACGCUGAGGAGCGAAAGCGUGGGGAGCGAACAGGAUUAGAUACCCCCGUAGUCCCUGUCUCUUAUAC
Molecule: ribosomal RNA, 301 nt
Filed under: uncultured bacterium
Lineage: Bacteria
Description: partial 16S ribosomal RNA
Rfam family: Bacterial small subunit ribosomal RNA
Source: RNAcentral